Molecule: ribosomal RNA, 237 nt
Filed under: uncultured bacterium
Lineage: Bacteria
Description: partial 16S ribosomal RNA
Rfam family: Bacterial small subunit ribosomal RNA
Source: RNAcentral
UACGGGGGGGGCAAGCGUUGUUCGGAAUUACUGGGCGUAAAGGGCUCGUAGGUGGCCAACUAAGUCAGACGUGAAAUCCCUCGGCUUAACCGGGGAACUGCGUCUGAUACUGGAUGGCUUGAAUCCGGGAGAGGGAUGCGGAAUUCCAGGUGUAGCGGUGAAAUGCGUAGAUAUCUGGAGGAACACCGGUGGCGAAGGCGGCAUCCUGGACCGGCAUUGACGCUGAGACGCGAAAGC